GUGAGGAAUAUUGGUCAAUGGACGAGAGUCUGAACCAGCCAAGUAGCGUGAAGGAUGAAGGUCCUACGGAUUGUAAACUUCUUUUAUAAGGGAAUAAACCCUCCCACGUGUGGGAGCUUGUAUGUACCUUAUGAAUAAGCAUCGGCUAACUCCGUGCCAGCAGCCGCGGUAAUACGGAGGAUGCGAGCGUUAUCCGGAUUUAUUGGGUUUAAAGGGAGCGCAGACGGGUCGUUAAGUCAGCUGUGAAAGUUUGGGGCUCAACCUUAAAAUUGCAGUUGAUACUGGCGUCCUUGAGUGCGGUUGAGGUGUGCGGAAUUCGUGGUGUAGCGGUGAAAUGCUUAGAUAUCACGAAGAACUCCGAUUGCGAAGGCAGCACACUAAUCCGUAACUGACGUUCAUGCUCGAAAGUGUGGGUAUCAAACAGGAUUAGAUACCCGGGUAGUCC
RNAcentral lists this ribosomal RNA (445 nucleotides) under uncultured bacterium. Its description in RNAcentral is "partial 16S ribosomal RNA". It matches the Rfam family "Bacterial small subunit ribosomal RNA", at positions 354 to 796 of the family's 1533-position model. The record is from RNAcentral.